AAAUUUGUUUGGGCAAAACAAAAAGCCCAAUUCCUCCAACCCUUCAACCCGGGUCACACAAGAACACCAAAUCAUCAAUUCCGAAAGUCCUUGACUUCAGUAGUUCAGUAAUGUAUGCAAGGUUUCGCGAACGAAGACGGUCGCGGCGUAAUAGGAUUGACACGUUUCAAAGGCUCCAGACUCAAAAUUCUGAAAUUGAAUCAUCGAUUCGAAAAUCCAUUCAUUUUACCCUCGCGCAUGCGUAAAGUUUAAAGAAAGCAGAACUGAUGCGAAGCAAAGGAUUUAGCGAUUCGAAGCUUCAACAUGAAGAUCUCAGGUCAGGUCCAUGAUAUAAGGUUGGUUGGAUUGGUAGGCCAUGGUUGUGUGACAUGUGACAUGGUGGCUUGGAAAUGGAUUAACAUUCUUUCUUGUAUAGGUAAUGCAAUGCUUUUCUUGAGCUUGUUUAAAUGUAUUUGGAUCUGCUUGGACCUGAUUGCAUGGGCUUGAACCUGCUUGCUUUUGUUGAUUGGUUUGUUGUGCAUUAUGCAAGUCAUGACAUUACUAUCAUAUGGAAUGGAUCAGCUUGGAAUGAAAUUUUGGAGUUUCGGUUGAGCCAUGUGAAACUAGAUCAUUGAAUUUAGCUUGUGAUCCUAUGGUUGUAAUUGUAACAUGGUUUAUGUAGAACAAUUAGGAAUUGUAAUGUGAGGUUUAAGUUUGAAAAAGGGAAAUUUGAAAUCUUGGUGUAAUUUUGGGACUUGGAUAUAAUGAAUGUAAUGAGGGGUAGUUUGAAUUGAAAUUGAAUGUCGGAAUGUAAAUGGUCAAUUGGAUUGAAUGAAUGCAAUUGUAUAGUAUUUGGUUA
Molecule: long non-coding RNA, 838 nt
Organism: Lathyrus oleraceus (garden pea)
Lineage: Eukaryota; Viridiplantae; Streptophyta; Magnoliopsida; Fabales; Fabaceae
Exons: 2
Source: RefSeq, a predicted model, not a curated record